Long non-coding RNA from Aquila chrysaetos chrysaetos, 1353 nucleotides. RefSeq lists it as uncharacterized. The transcript is spliced from 3 exons. NCBI's taxonomy places the organism in Eukaryota, Metazoa, Chordata, Aves, Accipitriformes, Accipitridae. The record is from RefSeq and is a predicted model, not a curated record.
CACCGGCCGCUGCCCCCGGCCUCGCCGCUGCCCCGGGGAGGGAGAAGUGAGCCCCCGUCCCCGUCCCCGCCGCUUCCCGAGGCACGGACCAGCGACGGGUUCCUCAUCCUCGAGGACUCUCGGAGAAGAUAGAAUGCGUGGUACCUGGAGGAGGUCGCCCGUCGUUUAUGUUGAAAGCUGUUGCAAAUAUACCAAAGGGAAACGCCCCAAUGCCGAAUGACAUUUGGAAGCCACCAUCCCCAAACCCAAAGCCCUGGAAUCCCUGCAGAGAACAAAGCAACAGAAGAGAAAAAAAGGUUGUUCUGAAAACGACUGAAUUAUUGACAUUUACUACAUCCAAGAACCAAGAGUGGCAACAGAUGAAUGGUUAAGAAACAAAGAACCCAUUUUCAAGUAGUCUUCCUAAAUAAAAAAAAGUCUGGCAGAGCAUGAAGAAGACGUGGAAGCGAAGAUACGUGUUUAGGGAUUCAGCACAAAUCCCACUGAGUUGCAUAAAGAAUAAGCGUGGCUGAAAGAGCUGGUGAAACUGGACCUCCGACAAGCAGAUGGCACACUAGGACCUCAAAGCUUCAUGACAACUGAGAACACAGGAGGUCCACAAAAGAAGUAAGUGCAGGAAACUUUUAAGGUCUAUGUACUGUGUAUAAAUCUUACUAACAGACAAUAAGAAAGAAAUUUACUCCAAUACUUUAAAAACUAAAUCUAUAAAUCUAGUGAGAGAAACUGCAUACCAGGAAAACACAAGCCCAAUAGCUACUGUAAAAGAUCACGUUUCUAAACUCAGCAAAUGAAAAAUUACGCAUUUGCCAAAGUUCACUGAGCUGACACUAAAAAUACAAGAGAAACACUUCAAGAAAAACUGGGAGAACAGCAGGUGAACAAUAAUUCAACCUGAGAAAGACAGAGGGAAUAUAAACUAGAAGCUAAUGUCAUCUGUAUGAAACAGUUGUAGAAUACAUGCUCACAGCACUACAACAUUAGGAUGUUUGAAGCAUUUACUUUCUAAUACAUGCUCACAGCACUACAACAUUAGGAUGUUUGAAGCAUUUACUUUCUAAUACAUGCUCACAGCACUACAACAUUAGGAUGUUUGAAGCAUUUACUUUCUAAUCUUCUUUCAUGAGCAAUGAGAAAAAAUUCUGGUGAGGAUAUAGGACUCUGGCUAGUUUAUUAAUAAAACCCAAAGUUUAUUCCUCUUUGUGAUAUCUAAUACAUAACAAUGAAAUGAAAAGAUGAGCAUUGUUAGAUGUAAAAUUCCACAAGACAGACACUUUUCCAUGUAUCUUUCCUAAUGAAUCUUAUUUUAUCUAGGAUUACUGAAAUUGAAAAGAUCUAGUUUGUUUCUGAAACAAG